UACGUAGGGGGCAAGCGUUGUCCGGAAUCAUUGGGCGUAAAGCGCGCGUAGGUGGUCCUGUAAGUCCGCUGUGAAAGUCAAAGGCUCAACCUUUGAAAGCCGGUGGAUACUGCAUGACUAGAGUACGGAAGAGGCGAGUGGAAUUCCUGGUGUAGCGGUGGAAUGCGCAGAUAUCAGGAGGAACACCAAUAGCGAAGGCAGCUCGCUGGGACGUUACUGACACUGAGGCGCGAAAGCGUGGGGAGCAAACGGG
This 253-nucleotide ribosomal RNA is filed under the name uncultured bacterium. RNAcentral describes it as "partial 16S ribosomal RNA". It matches the Rfam family "Bacterial small subunit ribosomal RNA", at positions 524 to 776 of the family's 1533-position model. The record is from RNAcentral.